GUUCGCGUAACUCAGUGGUAGAGUGUGAGAUUGCAACGCUUAAGCAUUGAUAUUGAUGAUGCUUGGUUUAUCUCGAAGCCCCGUGUUCGAACCACGGCGCGAACU
This is a non-coding RNA of Lentinula aff. lateritia, 105 nucleotides long. NCBI's taxonomy places the organism in Eukaryota, Fungi, Basidiomycota, Agaricomycetes, Agaricales, Omphalotaceae. The record is from the annotation of a GenBank genome assembly.